AUACGGAGGAUGCGAGCGUUAUCCGGAUUUAUUAGGUUUCAAGGGUGUGUAGGCGGUAUUUUAAGUCAGUGGUGAAAUCUCGGAGCUUAACUUCGAAACUGCCAUUGAUACUGGAAUACUUGAGUAUAGUUGAGGUAGGCGGAAUAUGUAAUGUAGCGGUGAAAUGCAUAGAUAUUACAUAGAACACCGAUUGCGAAGGCAGCUUACUAAACUAUUACUGACGCUGAUGCACGAAAGCGUGGGGAGCGAACAGGAUUAGAAACCCCAGUAGUCC
Molecule: ribosomal RNA, 274 nt
Filed under: uncultured bacterium
Lineage: Bacteria
Description: partial 16S ribosomal RNA
Rfam family: Bacterial small subunit ribosomal RNA
Source: RNAcentral